Long non-coding RNA from Arabidopsis lyrata subsp. lyrata, 826 nucleotides. RefSeq lists it as uncharacterized. The transcript is spliced from 2 exons. The record is from RefSeq and is a predicted model, not a curated record. Lineage: Eukaryota; Viridiplantae; Streptophyta; Magnoliopsida; Brassicales; Brassicaceae.
UCCAUCACUGCAACUUUCAUCUCUCUCUCUUGUUCAAAUCUCCAAUCUCCAAUCUAAAGACAAAACAAAGACCACCACCAUUAAUGGCUUUCUUCACCGAUACGAACAAGACAGGAACACAAACACAAACCCAGCCUCCUCCUCCUCCGUCUCCUUCCGUCUCUUUUCGUUUCUUCUCAGUAAUCCCUAAAAUUUUCAAUUAAUCCCUCGAUUUCUCCUCUUAAUUUGAAUCCGAAGCAACACAAAAUCCAUAACAAAGUCUGGAAAAUUUGCAUCUUUAUUUAUCGAUUCCGUUACAUCGGCUAAUUGGAGGAAAUCAGAGAAUGGAGGAGGAAAAGCUAGAAAUCGUUGGACCGUUGGAGAAGCCGUUGAUGGGAAACAUCGUACCAGAGGAGAUCAACGGCUUGGAUUCGCUUUCUCUCUCUCCCCUGGCUCUCAUAGCUCUCUCUCUUUCUCUGAUUUCAUUUCACCGCCGAGGUCUCGCCGUGUUACCAGCGAAUUUAUUUGGCCGGAUUUGAAGAAAACUUUGAAAGCCAUUUGUUUUCACUUCGACUCUGAAACUCGUCGUCUCCUCCGCUGUUACCGCCGCUGAAGGUUCAGCUUUGGCAAGUAAUCUGUAAAGAAGAAGAGGAAGAAUCAGACCGUAGGAUUAGGCAACGACAUUGGGGCAUCUUAAUCAUUCGAUCUUAUUCACAUUAAUAUUAAUUGCUAACCAAACUUUACACAUCUACACAAAUAUGGACCGUAUAAUCAGAAUUGGAGUUCUCCAUAAUUUUUUUAAAUUUCUUUGUCGUAGACCUUUGCUUACGGAGAAUUAUCCCUUCCU